AUCUAAUUCUCUAACUUUUUCAAAGUCUAUGCAUCUCGUGUUAGUUUCUCUCUACUGCCGUUCAGCACAGUUCCUUUAAUGUAUUUUAUAUGUGGAAAGAUUUUUCCAAGAUCAAAGAUUGUCUCACCUUCUCAUUUUACAAUGGACUCCCACUGUAUUGAAAACUCCAUACGAGCUUUACAGAUUAAAAAGAGAUACACUCAAUCUUAAGUGCCGUUUUAUGUCUAACUAUCAGGAUGUGAUCUAAAGCCUCAUUUCUGAAUUUUUUCUAGUAAAUGACUGUUUCACAAAGUUUCGCAAAGUUUGUACUUUUUAGUUUUCUCGUGUACACUUAUUCAAAGAUUGUCAUGUCUAAGAGAGGCUCCAGCUCGAGGACAGCCUCACAAUCGCAACAUCAAGACAUCAGCCAACCAUCUGAUUUUGGCAUCGAAAAGUCUAUUCAAAAUCUAAGCGAUCUCACAUCAGAAGAGCGGGAAAAACUGGUGUCCGAUGUCACCCGGUUAUUUUUGCUUGCUGACAUAAGAAAACAACUUGUCAAGAGAGAAGACAUCAAAAAAAUCCUUACUUAUUACAAAUCUCCGAAAAUUGUCAAAGAGCUGAUUGAGCUUGCCAAGAUCAAGUUAUUUGACUUGUUUGGAUUUGAGCUGGUAUCGCUUUCGAAAUACGACUCGAAGGGGAAUGCUAUUCCCGGCACAGAACAAGGGGCAUAUUUGCUAAGAAUGAGUCCAGACGUCAAAAAAUUCUUGUCUCCUGUGAGUGACCAAAUGUAUUAUCCCGAUAUCGAACGUUUCGGCCUCUUGAUGGUCAUCUUAGGGUAUCUUUUUAUCAACGGUGGUACAGACAAAGAGACGUUUUGGAAAGAUUUAAAACGUCUAAAUAUUGAUGAGCACAAAAAGCACGAGCUGUUUGAUGACUGUCAGUCCAUUGUAAACACGUUCGUCGAGCAAGAUUAUCUUACUCUAAAGCGAGUUCAGUCUAAGAAUGGAGGGGAGAUAAUGUAUGUGUAUUUCAUAGGGCCGAGAAGUUAUGCAGAAAUCCCAAAAAAAAACAUCUUAAUAUUUGUAGCGAAGAUGUGUGGCUACCAAGAACCAGAUCCAAUUCUACUCGCUGAGAUCGAGAAAGAAGAAUGUCUAAAAAAAUGAGAGGAUAUAUCGCCUGUGAAAGAGUUGAUAAAACGUUGCCCUUCUAUUUUUAUAGGCAUUUUCAGCUUGAAUCCAGACGACAUCAGGAUAUUCAUUGUCGUUACAAAAAAAAUUUCAUGUCUGUACUAAAGUCAUUCUUUAUACCAUCCUGAUUAAAAUAUGCCUAUAUACCACCAUUCAUAUGUUUUAUCUCGAAUCGCAUAUCAGAAAAUUUUUUUUGUGUCUAAAUAAUCAGUGGUAUAAAUGUACAGACGAUCAAGAAGCGUGAGCCUGUAUCCGCUUGGCAUAGUACCCCUGACUGUGGCUUGACUUACAAUAUUUAGGCUGAGACGCAUUUGGAAACUAUGACUGCCAGUUAGCUGCACUAUUUUUUGAGUUUGGUUUUUAUUGUAUUAGGCGGUUAGAGAGGGGCUUUUUGGCCCAAGAGCCAUUUUAUAGCUUGGGUUCUGCUGAUUUGAAAAAGACCAGCUUAUUUCGAAUGUAAACUGCCUGUCAUUAUUGGCUUAAGUACAGAUGUAUCUGUAUGUCUCUAUUGAGAUUGAUGUUUAUUGGUUUAGAUUGUUUUGAUAUUACGAGAGCUGUACGCUAAAUUUUGGACACCUUGGUUUGUACGUGUACUUGUCUCUACUUAUCAGAAAAUUUAGACGGCGUAUAUAUACUGUGUUUGUUGGGUAACAUCAGAGCUAUGAAGGCUAUUAGAAGGCUACGACCUGUCUUCUGAUACAUCCAGCCCCUAAUGUGUUUUUUAGACGCAUGGUAGAUGGAUGAUCUAUAAUGAUUUACUCGUCAGCAUUCUUUUGAAUCAAAAUAGGGUAACUGUUUUUUUCAGCAUGCAACUUUUAUGUUUAUAGCAAUAUUUCAGAGUUGAAUAUCUGCCAAAGGGGCGAAUUUUCUUGUGUUGAAACCUUGUUUUUACAGAUCUUUGUACCAAAAAAAAAAUUAUUUUUUGUCAAACGAUUUAUCGUGCCACUUUGUUCAGCGAGCAUGCACAAAAAUUUGAGUGGUCUAAGCGGUAUUGAUGAUUCAUAUCAAAGGCUGGAAAAAAAUUUUGAGUUUAUUCAGCAGGGAAUUAGAUUAGUUGAAGAAGAGAAAAAAAGAAUUAAGCGAGAGAACGCAUGUUUGAAAGCUCUUAAUGAAAGAAAAACACUGGAAUUGGAGCAGUUGCAUAAGCAAGUAGAGAUGCAGCAGUUCAUUCGAGACUACGUCAUUACAUCUCAGCAUAUGGUAGAUAUUCAAGAAGAGCUUUCACAGCUUCGAGAGGAGAAUUAUUCUUGGCACUUAGAGAGAAAAGCGUUGCUUGAACAGAUAGAUGAGUUGAAACAUAAGAUUUCACAACGCGAGACGUUUUACGAGGCCCAGUCUGCUUAUUGGAAAAAGUUGCUGAAUGAGUAUGAGGAUCAGAUUGAUGAAUAUCGGAACAGUGAAGUCACAACAAGAGAUGGAGCAUGCAGAUUUGCAAGUAGUAAAGAGAUCAUGUGUUUGAAGGAAAAAGUAGAUACGGUUCAUGAAGAAAGAUUGUUUGAAGUAGAGUGAAAGGAAUUAGUAUGUGACGUAUGUUUUGGAAUCAUUGGUGGCGGUUUUGAAAUUAGUCAAGAAACUCUCAUUUUUGCUGUAAGAAUAGUCUGAAAAUUUAUGGAAAUACUUACUGAAUUAAUAAUAUGCUACAUGCGAUGAUUUAGGCAUCUAGGAGAAGUGUUUGGAUUCGACAGAAUGAUCAUUUUAAUUGUGUCUUUUUUUAAAAUUCAUUAUUUUUGCGGCAGUAUGUCACGGAGU
This is an RNA transcript of Schistocerca gregaria, 2915 nucleotides long. RefSeq lists it as uncharacterized. NCBI's taxonomy places the organism in Eukaryota, Metazoa, Arthropoda, Insecta, Orthoptera, Acrididae. The record is from RefSeq and is a predicted model, not a curated record. The transcript is spliced from 6 exons.